This 21-nucleotide non-coding RNA is filed under the name Caenorhabditis elegans. The record is from RNAcentral. Lineage: Eukaryota; Metazoa; Nematoda; Chromadorea; Rhabditida; Rhabditidae.
UACCGUACUAUUUUCAAAAGC